Molecule: long non-coding RNA, 459 nt
Organism: Perca fluviatilis (European perch)
Lineage: Eukaryota; Metazoa; Chordata; Actinopteri; Perciformes; Percidae
Exons: 5
Source: RefSeq, a predicted model, not a curated record
GUGACCGAUUCAAGUUCUGUCCUCCUGACGUUUGCGUUUGAUACGAUACACCAACUGACAAAGAAAGAUCUUAUUUGCUUCGCCAAACGAUCUCACGAAAAAAUGACUCCAGUCCACAAGCAAGAAAGCGUUCCAGGACGGAGCGUGUGUGUGGAAGCCCUGUCUGUCAGUAGACAUCACUGCCACCACCACCUGCAUAUGAGUCAACACCACACAGGAAACCAGCCGGUCGCCCAGAGCUGGAUGGGUGUAUUCUAACACAAGCUCGGCCUGCCACUUCAUCUUGGGACCCAGUUGAAGCAACUUUUCCUGACAAGCCCGGAGGUUGGACCGGAGGUACUGCCAUGCGUCGCAUGCUACGGCGAGUCGCAACCAAUGAUGUUCUAAAACUGUAUAUCCUGCGGGGCAGAAAGGGAAAGAAGGCCUUCCAGGACCUGACUAUCUGCAGGGUUAUAACAG